Molecule: long non-coding RNA, 449 nt
Organism: Melospiza melodia melodia
Lineage: Eukaryota; Metazoa; Chordata; Aves; Passeriformes; Passerellidae
Exons: 2
Source: RefSeq, a predicted model, not a curated record
UGCUGAGAUUCUCGCAGGCACCCAAAGGAGUCAUCGAGCUGCGUGCUGAUGGCUGCACGCUGCCAAAAUCCUCUGGAAUCCUCUCCCCUGCGUCGCCCCUUCCCAGGUCAGUGUCAGGCUUUGCCGCAGCAGGUGCUGAAACCCGUUCCUCCUCGCGACCUGCCUCCCUUGCUUUUCCAGCACAUUUUCCAGAGCUGCGGGAUGGAGAGGGACUGCGCUGCUGGCCUGAGAGGUCGACGCUCAGGUGGCUCCCACGCCUACAUCCACCACCUCGCCAGCCUGAGCACUGCCCCCCAUCCGUGGAGAUGAAGGGAAAGCCUGGUGGUCUUGGGGUCACUCGGGGUUUAGUUGAAAACACCCAGCUUGUGUUCACUUGUUCCCCCCCUCCUGCCUCUCCCGCUGCAAAACCAGUGUAAUUGGAGCAGGAAAUUAAACAUUUGAAGCGUUAA